GAUGUUCGGUUAAGUCCGCUAACGAGCGCAACCCUCGCUGUGUGUUACAAGUGUCACACGGGAACUGCCGGUCAUAAACCGGAGGAAGGUGGGGAUGACGUCAAGUCAGCAUGGCCUUUAUAUCCUGGGCUACACACACGCUACAAUGGGAAGGGACAAUAGGUUGCGAAGCCGCGAGGCGGAGCCAAUCCAGCAAAACUUCCCUCAGUUCAGAUUGCAGGCUGCAACUCGCCUGCAUGAAGUUGGAGUUGCUAGUAAACGCAGGUCAGCCAUACUGCGUUGAAUACGUUCCCGGGCUU
Molecule: ribosomal RNA, 299 nt
Filed under: uncultured Anaerolineaceae bacterium
Lineage: Bacteria; Bacillati; Chloroflexota; Anaerolineae; Anaerolineales; Anaerolineaceae
Description: partial 16S ribosomal RNA
Rfam family: Bacterial small subunit ribosomal RNA
Source: RNAcentral